GAUGAACGCUGGCGGCGUGCUUAACACAUGCAAGUCGAACGGUGAAGCCCAGCUUGCUGGGUGGAUCAGUGGCGAACGGGUGAGUAACACGUGAGCAAUCUGCCCCUGACUCUGGGAUAAGCGCUGGAAACGGUGUCUAAUACUGGAUAUGAGCUGCGACCGCAUGGUCAGUAGUUGGAAAGAUUUUUCGGUCAGGGAUGAGCUCGCGGCCUAUCAGCUUGUUGGUGAGGUAAUGGCUCACCAAGGCGUCGACGGGUAGCCGGCCUGAGAGGGUGACCGGCCACACUGGGACUGAGACACGGCCCAGACUCCUACGGGAGGCAGCAGUGGGGAAUUGUUCGCAAUGGGCGCAAGCCUGACGACGCAACGCCGCGUGGAGGACGAAGAUCUUCGGGUCGUAAAC
RNAcentral lists this ribosomal RNA (403 nucleotides) under uncultured bacterium. Its description in RNAcentral is "bacterial SSU rRNA". It matches the Rfam family "Bacterial small subunit ribosomal RNA", at positions 28 to 430 of the family's 1533-position model. The record is from RNAcentral.